Molecule: ribosomal RNA, 762 nt
Filed under: Triticum aestivum (bread wheat)
Lineage: Eukaryota; Viridiplantae; Streptophyta; Magnoliopsida; Poales; Poaceae
Description: partial small subunit ribosomal RNA
Source: RNAcentral
AUGGAGGGGUCGGCCACUAUGACGGUGCGGGAGGUGCUGCACAUGUACAGCUUCGCGCGGGAGGCGUACGAGCGGUUCAUCUCCGUGGGCGGCAACCCGGAGCAGGCCCAGAACGCAGUGGCGCUGCUGGUGUGUCUUGACCAGGGCACCAUCGCCGCCAUCCACCAUGUCCCCGGCCUUGAAACUAGCGAUGUGGCCAUCGUCGCGGAGGAGGCCAACGCCGUCCUCGAGUGCCUCCGAUACCCGGUGCCCGUGCUCCCGCCCAUCCCGCUCAUAUCCAUGCUCUGCAUGCAAGGUGGCGUCUACAUCGAGCACGGCUUCUUGGCCUUCCACCAGGACUUACUGGUCCGUGGGGUUGCUCACUUCCUCGAUGGCGCCGGCAAGUUGUACUUCAACGACCGCUUGAAUGUAUUGCUCAGGAGGUAUGAGACUGGACUGGUUGGGAACCCGCCGGAGCUCAUGGAGCUCAAGUUGGUCUUCCGGUGGUGGUGCCGGAGGACUGCCGCUCCAUGUUCAUCACCUUCUCCAAGUCAUUUCCAUCGCGAAGAGAUCUUCGACUACUUCAGGGAGAAAUGGGGUGAUUGCGUGGUGAGGGUGCUCAUGGAGAAGACGACAAGAGGCAACAUGCCCAUGUAUGGCCGGAUCAUCUUCAAGACAGAGGCGAUAGUGAGGCUGGUGCUCAACGGUGAGAGGCUCGUCAAGAUCUCCAUCGAUGACCAUGUGAUGUGUCUGCGCAAAUACAUUUCCAGGCCAACCAACGUC